AGAGUUUGAUCAUGGCUCAGGAUGAACGCUAGCGGCAGGCCUAACACAUGCAAGUCGAGGGGUAGAAGAAGCUUGCUUUUUUGAGACCGGCGCACGGGUGAGUAACGCGUAUGCAACCUACCUUAUACAGGGGAAUAGCCCGAAGAAAUUCGGAUUAAUGCUCCAUGGUUUAUCGAUAUGGCAUCGUAUUGAUAAUAAAGAUUUAUCGGUAUAAGAUGGGCAUGCGUAUCAUUAGCUAGUUGGUGUGGUAACGGCAUACCAAGGCAACGAUGAUUAGGGGUCCUGAGAGGGAGAUCCCCCACACUGGUACUGAGACACGGACCAGACUCCUACGGGAGGCAGCAGUGAGGAAUAUUGGUCAAUGGAGGCAACUCUGAACCAGCCAUGCCGCGUGCAGGAUGACGGUCCUAUGGAUUGUAAACUGCUUUUGUACAGGAAGAAACCUCCCUACGAGUAGGGACUUGACGGUAAUGUAAGAAUAAGGAUCGG
RNAcentral lists this ribosomal RNA (489 nucleotides) under Myroides sp. RNAcentral describes it as "bacterial SSU rRNA". It matches the Rfam family "Bacterial small subunit ribosomal RNA", at positions 8 to 496 of the family's 1533-position model. The record is from RNAcentral. Lineage: Bacteria; Pseudomonadati; Bacteroidota; Flavobacteriia; Flavobacteriales; Flavobacteriaceae.